Molecule: unclassified non-coding RNA, 607 nt
Filed under: Hevea brasiliensis (rubber tree)
Lineage: Eukaryota; Viridiplantae; Streptophyta; Magnoliopsida; Malpighiales; Euphorbiaceae
Source: RNAcentral
UUUUUUUUUUUGGUCUACCACCUUUCUUUCUCUCUGUGUAAGGGUGGGAUUGUGAUGUUGAAAUUUUUCAUCUCUCUACAUACAUAUCAAUGUGCCUCGGUGAUGCAGCUGAAAUUGGAGGUUUUGUUGAAGUCUAAAAGGUUGCAUAGGCAUCACACCUAGGGUUGAAUUGCAUCACAUAUCUCGAAACAUAAUUGCUAGAAUUUGUGUUGAUUAAAAAACUGAGAAACAAUAUUACAAACAUGGAUGUUUAUAGACUCACAAAGUUAAUCCUUAUCCUCUAAGGAUUUGGACUCCUAAAAGUAAAUCUCAACCUUUAAUUAAUCUAAAAAGUAAUCCUAAAAAUUAAUCCUUAAGGAGUCUAAUUGAAGAAUACUCUAGAAAUCUAGAUUUUUUUAGCAAAUAUGAAAUUGCAAAACUAUCCCUGUGACGUAAAUAAAUACCAACAAUUAAUGUACAUAAGUAGACACACAAGUAAAACUCUGAAAGAACUAGAAAAUACUCUAUAAUUUCCCCAAUAAAGUUUACAUUAAAACUGAACUAUAAUCCAUUUUAAUAUGAGGUUAAUACGGGUAAUUAUUCUCCUUGUAAUUUUUAACCUCUCAUU